This 253-nucleotide ribosomal RNA is filed under the name uncultured bacterium. RNAcentral describes it as "partial 16S ribosomal RNA". It matches the Rfam family "Bacterial small subunit ribosomal RNA", at positions 524 to 776 of the family's 1533-position model. The record is from RNAcentral.
UACGUAGGGGGCUAGCGUUGUCCGGAAUCAUUGGGCGUAAAGCGCGUGUAGGCGGUCCGGUAAGUCCGCUGUGAAAGUCGGGGGCUCAACCCUCGAAUGCCGGUGGAUACUGUCGGGCUAGAGUGCGGAAGAGGCGAGUGGAAUCCUGGUGUAGCGGUGAAAUGCGCAGAUAUCAGGAGAAACACCCAAUUGCGAAGGCAGCUCGCUGGGACGUUACUGACGCUGAGACGCGAAAGCGUGGGGAGCAAACAGG